Lucilia sericata (common green bottle fly) is the source of this 1339-nucleotide long non-coding RNA. RefSeq lists it as uncharacterized. NCBI's taxonomy places the organism in Eukaryota, Metazoa, Arthropoda, Insecta, Diptera, Calliphoridae. The transcript has 3 exons. The record is from RefSeq and is a predicted model, not a curated record.
GAAAAAUCGUUUAACUUUUCUCUUCCUUCGGAUAAACUACAAAUCUACCUAUAAAUUCAACCUUGUUUUUACUCUUUUUAUACAACUCUGCAUGCAAAAGCUCAUUUUCCAUAAUGGACUUCCAGUAAUGAACAGCUGACAUUCAACCACCAAUAAAACUGAGCAAACAUAAACAAAAAACAUCUAUGUGAAAAUAAUAAAAUAAACAAUCAAAAAAAUUAAAUUCAACAAAACAAAAAGAACUCCUACCACUUGGCCAUCGUUACCAGGACCGGACCCUACAAAACCACAAAGAAAAGAAACAAUGAUGCCUAAAAAAAGAGAAAAAAAACUAACAAACACAAAAAAAAAACUACAAACAACAAACUUAAAGAACUAAACAAAAAUUCAUACAGAAAACAAAUCAACGUUUUAAAAACAACGAGGCCCACAUACAAAACGAAAAUACACCCGCAACAAAACUCCGAUGCCGCUGAUGGUAUUCAGAGGGAGCGGUGUGCGGCUAAAUUUCAGCGUGACCAACGUGGGGAACUCCCACACCCUGAGAUUCUAUCAGCCGGGCAUUAACACUUAACUAUUUCCAAUGGUGGCAAUUUGGGUAUCACAAUCCCUACUGAUGUCCCAAUGAAUCAACUAAUAUCAGUCUAAAAUUUGAUUUGGCAUCAUGUGGAAUCAUAUUAACAAAACUGAGGGACUGCACAACAUCAUAAGAACAACCAAAACUUUAUUUGCCGCAUAAUUCUGUUUGGGCGCCAUAUUCUGUUACGAACCUUCUGUUGGCCACUGGAUUCCACCACCCUACUAGCUCACGCGGCAUCACCUCGGGGUGUGAUUCUCAACCCUUUUGAUGACCAAGGUCCGCUACAAAAUAACUUACAAUUGAACAGAAAAUCAAAUACGUAUUCAACAUACACAGAGCGAAACACACACAUAGGGAGAAAGGUGAUAUUCUCACGAUUACAUCGGGUCAUUAACUUAUUUCUUAUGGCCUUGAACUCAUUACAAGCAAUUUCGCAGAGAAAAAUCGUUUAACUUUUCUCUUCCUUCGGAUAAACUACAAAUCUACCUAUAAAUUCAACCUUGUUUUUACUCUUUUUAUACAACUCUGCAUGCAAAAGCUCAUUUUCCAUAAUGGACUUCCAGUAAUGAACAGCUGACAUUCAACCACCAAUAAAACUGAGCAAACAUAAACAAAAAACAUCUAUGUGAAAAUAAUAAAAUAAACAAUCAAAAAAAUUAAAUUCAACAAAACAAAAAGAACUCCUACCACUGGGCCAUCGUUACCAGGACCGGACCCUACAAAACCACAAAGAAAAGAAACAAUGCUGCCUAAAAAAAA